RNAcentral lists this ribosomal RNA (253 nucleotides) under uncultured bacterium. RNAcentral describes it as "partial 16S ribosomal RNA". It matches the Rfam family "Bacterial small subunit ribosomal RNA", at positions 524 to 776 of the family's 1533-position model. The record is from RNAcentral.
UACGGAGGGUGCAAGCGUUGAUCGGAAUUACUGCGCGUAAAGCGCGUGUAGGCGGUCUCCUAAGUCUGGUGUGAAAGCCCGGGGCUCACCCCCGGAAGUGCACUGGAUACUGGGAGACUGGAGUACCGGAGAGGAGGGUGGAAUUCCUGGUGUAGCGGUGAAAUGCGUAGAUAUCAGGAAGAACACCGGUGGCGAAGGCGGCCCUCUGGCCGGAUACUGGCGCUGAGACGCGAAAGCGUGGGGAGCAAACAGG